CACGAUUUAAAGGUAUGGGAAGCAGAAGAAGGAGCAAUGCCAAAACUUACUUUCUUGAGUAUCUCUGGGUGCCCCAAUUUGGAGAAGCUUCCAGAUGGUUUGAGAUCCAUCUCCACUUUUCGAAACAUGUCUAUCUGGAAUAUGCCAAGAGAAUUCAUGGAGAGAGUAAAUGAAGAAGAUUAUGGGCCAUUUGUCAAGAAGGACAUUGAUAUGGAUAGUGUCUACAAAGAAUAAGCAGUGGUCGAUAAAAGAGGGUUGAAGCAAAGAUGAUAACAAAAGUUUGAUUCCUAGUGAAGGCUCUCUACACUUGCUUAUUCGCAUUUAUUGACUCAAUUGAUACUCCAUAAAACUUUCUUGAUUUUGUUUAUGUACUCUCAUUUUAAUAAUAAGGCUCUCCAGCGCACCUCCCGACUCACCACGACCCACCUACAUCAGCUCCAACACAUCCGCUCUAUUUUGUGUCUUGUUAUCGAGUCGGUUAUUUAUUUCCAUCCGGGUUUUCUUUGUGGUUCUUUCCCGGAUCAGAUUACGAGAGUCGAACCACAUAGGAUUAGGUUUGUUUUUCCAUUAUAAAAGAGUCUUGUUGUUUCCAUUAUUUCAAUUGAGCAAUAACAGCUUAUCUUUUUAAAACUCUAAACUCUCUCUUAUU
Salvia hispanica is the source of this 649-nucleotide non-coding RNA. NCBI's taxonomy places the organism in Eukaryota, Viridiplantae, Streptophyta, Magnoliopsida, Lamiales, Lamiaceae. The record is from RefSeq and is a predicted model, not a curated record.